GCCGCGUGGUCUCUCACGCAGGGGCGCUGGGCGGGGGAACGCGGCCACCCUGAAUCUGGUGGAAGAUGGAUGCCUGAAGUGUAGACUGCUGCUAGCUGAAUACCAUAUGGGAGCAUAAAGGUGACCUUAAGGAUGUCCUUGGUGAGGAUUUUGAAAAUUUGAUCUUCACAAGAGUUGCUUGAAUCAUUUGAAAUUUCUGGGAGUCUGAGGAGUACUGACAUAAUUGCCUGUUGGAGUCUGUAAAUACACAUUUAAGACAGUGAGGAUGUGAAUAAAUAUAUUAAUGCACUUU
This 292-nucleotide long non-coding RNA is filed under the name Pongo abelii (Sumatran orangutan). RNAcentral describes it as "lincRNA". Lineage: Eukaryota; Metazoa; Chordata; Mammalia; Primates; Hominidae. The record is from RNAcentral.